Molecule: RNA transcript, 457 nt
Organism: Odobenus rosmarus divergens (Pacific walrus)
Lineage: Eukaryota; Metazoa; Chordata; Mammalia; Carnivora; Odobenidae
Gene name: ubiquitin-40S ribosomal protein S27a-like
Exons: 1
Source: RefSeq, a predicted model, not a curated record
AUGCAGAUUUUCAUGAAAACCCUUAUGGGAAAGACCAUCACUCUUUGAGGGUUGAACCCUCAAAUACAAUAGAAAAUGUGAAAGCCGAGAUCCAGGAUCAGGAAGGAAUUCCUCCCGAUCAGCAGAGACUGAUCUUCACUGGCAAGCAACUGGAAGGUGGACAUACUUUGUCUGACUACAACAUUCAAAAGGAGUCUACUCUUCAUCUUGUGUUGAGACUUCCUGGUGGUGCUAAGAAAAGGGAGAAGUUUUACGCCACUCCCAGGAAGAAUAAGCAUAAGAGAAAGAAGGUUAAAAGCUUGACAUCCUGAAAUACUCUCUCUAAGGUGGAUGAGAAGGGCAACAUCAGUCACUUUCAGACGAAUGUGGCACUGGUGUUCUUAUGGCUAGCCACUUUAACAGAUGCUACUGGGGCAAAUGUCUGACCUACCGCUUCGACAGACCAGGGUACAAGUAA